GAUGAACGCUGGCGGUCUGCUUAACACAUGCAAGUCGAACGGAAUCCUUCGGGAUUUAGUGGCGGACGGGUGAGUAACGCGUGAGAAUCUGCCUUCAGGUUCGGGACAACAGCUGGAAACGGCUGCUAAUACCGGAUGUGCCGAGAGGUGAAAGCUUUAGUGCCUGAAGAUGAGCUCGCGUCUGAUUAGCUAGUAGGAGUGGUAAUGGCACCCCUAGGCGACGAUCAGUAGCUGGUCUGAGAGGAUGAUCAGCCACACUGGGACUGAGACACGGCCCAGACUCCUACGGGAGGCAGCAGUGGGGAAUUUUCCGCAAUGGGCGCAAGCCUGACGGAGCAAGACCGCGUGAGGGAAGAGGGUCUGUGGAUUGUAAACCUCUUUUGAUGGGGAAGAAGACAGUGACGGUACCCAUCGAAUCAGCCUCGGCUAACUCCGUGCCAGCAGCCGCCGCCG
This 453-nucleotide ribosomal RNA is filed under the name uncultured bacterium. RNAcentral describes it as "partial 16S ribosomal RNA". It matches the Rfam family "Bacterial small subunit ribosomal RNA", at positions 28 to 523 of the family's 1533-position model. The record is from RNAcentral.